GGGUAGGUGCCGGAGUAGACAAACGGAGCUCUCUGUAAAAGAGUUGCCUUCGGGCUUCGGGGGUGCAAAUCCCUCCCUACCCA
Molecule: transfer RNA, 83 nt
Filed under: Candidatus Nealsonbacteria bacterium RBG_13_42_11
Lineage: Bacteria; Candidatus Nealsoniibacteriota
Description: tRNA-Tyr
Rfam family: tRNA
About the family: Transfer RNA (tRNA) molecules are approximately 80 nucleotides in length. Their secondary structure includes four short double-helical elements and three loops (D, anti-codon, and T loops).
Source: RNAcentral